UAGAGUUUGAUCCUGGCUCAGGAUGAACGCUGGCGGCGUGCCUAACACAUGCAAGUAGAGCGAACCCUUCGGGGUGAGCGGCGGACGGGUGAGUAACGCGUGGGUAACCUGCCCUGUACACACGGAUAACAUACCGAAAGGUAUGCUAAUACGGGAUAACAUAUGAGAGUCGCAUGCCUUUUGUAUCAAAGCUCCGGCGGUACAGGAUGGGCCCGCGUCUGAUUAGCUAGUUGGUAAGGUAACGGCUUACCAAGGCAUCGAUCAGUAGCCGACCUGAGAGGGUGAUCGGCCACAUUGGAAGUGAGACACGGUCCAAACUCCUACGGGAGGCAGCAGUGGGGAAUAUUGCACAAUGGGCGAAAGCCUGAUGCAGCAACGCCGCGUGAGCGAUGAAGGCCUUCGGGUCGUAAAACUCUGUCCUCAAGGAAGAUAAUGGCGGUACUUGAGGAGGAAGCCCCGGCUAACUACGUGCCAGCAGCCGCGGUAAUUCGUAGGGGGCUAGCGUUAUCCGGAAUUACUGGGCGUAAAGGGUGCGUAGGCGGUCUUUCAAGCCAGAAGUGAAAGGCUACGGCUCAACSGUAGUAAGCUUUUGGAACUGUAGGACUUGAGUGCAGGAGAGGAGAGUGGAAUUCCUAGUGUAGCGGUGAAAUGCGUAGAUAUUAGGAGGCACACCAGUAGCGAAGGCGUCUCUCUGGUCUGUAACUGACGCUGAGGCACGAAAGCGUGGGGAGCAAACAGGAUUAGAUCCCCUGGUAGUCCACGCCGUAAACGAUGAGUACUAGGUGUCGGGGGUUACCCCCCUCGGUGCCGCAGCUAACGCAUUAA
Molecule: ribosomal RNA, 825 nt
Filed under: Paraclostridium sordellii
Lineage: Bacteria; Bacillati; Bacillota; Clostridia; Peptostreptococcales; Peptostreptococcaceae
Description: bacterial SSU rRNA
Rfam family: Bacterial small subunit ribosomal RNA
Source: RNAcentral